UGUGCCCUAAUCAACUUAAUCUCCCGUUUAGUUAUUCCAUCCAAACAUAUUUCAGCAUAACGUUAGUCACAUUAAUUGUAUGUAGUGUUGAUAAAUAUGCUUGUCUUAUUCUCAUUUGUAAGUUAAUUUUGGAUAAUAGCAUCUGCUAAAUGAAUAAAUACAUAAACACUAUGCAGGCCUAUUCAAUGGUAAUUUGAUUCAAAACAAUUAAAGGAAUACAGUAUUUUGUAGAAAUUAAAAGUCACAGUAAUUGAAUAUAUUCCUUGUAUUAACUGUGGGUGGCUUUGCCUGUUGUGCACCUUAUCACUUUGAUUGCUUUAUCAGUUGUUGUGUUUCUCGUUUGUUUUUGGUGGUUUUCUUACUCUGUUAACAAAGGUGUACAUGCUUGCCAUACAGUAUAAUGCUAUAGUUUGCCACAUUGCAAAUAUAGGAAUUGAACAGGUUCUAAAGCAAUAACCUAACUACUUUAUGCAAAUGCUGUAAGUAAUUGGUAAUACUAUUUUUUAUAUUACACCAUAGUAUUCAAAUGUAUGUUAUCACACUACAUUUUAACCAUUUUGCUGGGCUGUGUUUUAAGGUCUAAUUAAUUUAAAAUGAAGCAACACAUCUCUCUGCAUUUACAUGGCAGUUCAAGCAUGAAUACUGAGUGCAAAGCUCACCUUCUCACCUUUUUCCCCCCAUUUUUUUCUUCCCUUUUUUCCCUUUAAAAUGUAUGGUCACUAUAUACUAUGUGAUCCCUGAUGAUCUGGUGAUGGCUGAUCUCUUGUGUUCUGCCUUAUAUCCCCAAUCAGUGUUCUGUGUCCCAAUCAACCUUUAAUCAGCAAUUUUUAAACUCUAAUUUUUUAGGACAUUUGGAUAAUUUAAAGUGCAGAAACAACAAGAUGCCUUCUAGAAUCCCAUUCAGUUUUAAGUGAAGAAGUGUUGUUACUGAUAAUACAGAAUAACUAUUCUUACAUCUACUGUAAGCCUUUUUUGGACACUUAAAAGCUCCUUAAGACAAGUUCAUUCCAAAAUAUGGAAUUAUUUAGUAGUUUUUUUUUUUUUUAGUUUUUUUUUUGUUUUUGUUUUAAAAGGACAUGUUUUAUUUUCAUGCUGCUUAAAGUAUUGAAAUAAAUUCAGCACUAUAUUUAUAAACUUAUGUUUAAACUUGGCAACAGUAAAGUGUCAAAAAAGAAGUUCAGUCAUUACAACACUCUGAAUAAAUAUAAAGUGUUAUAAUGAAUAUGAAGUUGGUAGGUUGUGUUUUGGCAGACUUGAUUUUUCUUAUACUGCUUACGAAAACUUGCUACUGCUAGACUAUAUAUUGGCAUUUUGUGCCCAACCUGGUUUCAUAGAUUAUCAUUACUAUAACAACUUUCAGUCAUGACAACUCUCGGAAAGAUUUAGUAUGUUAAUGUGGGUAUGACAUAUUGAGAGGAUAUUGGUCUUGGCGGACUACAUCUGCUAAGCUGCUGUUGCUGCUGCAGAGCAAGUACGGAGACUUGCUACUGCUAGAACGUACACCGACAUACUGAGUUAAGCAUGUAGACCUGCUGCUUCUGCUGCUGCACAAUAAGAAAAACACAAGACAUUCUGUAUAAAGUAUGUAGGACAAGCUCUUGCACAGUUAGACAUAAAUACAGUGCCCAUGUAGCAGAUCUAGAUAAGCAGGGUUUGGAAGUGGAGGGUUACAGAGAAACUCUUGCAGCAAGCUGCAGUGAAACUGGCUUACUUGCAAACUGAGCAAAUGUAAAUAUUUGGCAAAGAGAGAUUACACAAGUUGAUAAGCUACCAGAUGACAUGUCAAAGGACCUAUCAGCUUACACCAUGUGAGCCGAUUGACUUGACAUACCACAUGUAAGCGAGCUGAAUGGGUAACAGAUAACAAAUUAAAAGAACCGAUCAGCUUGCCUAUUCAGAGUUUCGUGCCUGAGCUUGAGUUUCACCUGCCUCGUUCAAUGUAUCACUGCAGUUUUCUGGUGAAGUAAACUCUAAAGGCGCAACAACGAGUUGUUCAUUUUCACUCAAAUCACGAGUAAAAUAGCAGAUUAAAACUUCAUAAACACUUAUGACCUGACUCACUGAACAUUCACUUGACUGUCUGAACUUCAUUCAUGAAACUGAGCGCCGUCUUUGUUUCUUUUUGUGCUGGUUCCACCUAGCGGCUGGAGCAUGUUUUGUGGAGUAACACUUAGUGCCUGACCGAUAUAUCAGUCCGGCGAUAUUAUCAGCUGAUAUUAGCCUUUCACCGAUAUAUCGAUAUCGGCAUAUAUGUUUACCUAUAUGCGCAGAUAUGAAAACUUUUUUUCAGAACAUAUAAUGCAGAAAACAAUGCUUUAUAAUUGGUGUCAUAACGUAGUUUGUCCAGCAGAGUGCGCUCCGACUCCAUUGUUUAAAGAGCUAACUCUAAGCUGACGGUGGCUAUGCAGCCAGGGCGGAGUUGAGCGGUGUCUUCGUCAUAAGUUGCUAACUAGUUUGUGAAAUACAUACUGGAAAGUUAAUAAACAAUGACCCCAUCAUUUUCCCUUUUCAAUAUAACUAAUAUAACGUUAACCCUGUCCCUGAUAACCAUGUCACUCAUGUUUUGCUGUUAGACAGCUAUAGUUUGUCAUUGCAGUCAGUAAAGUAAAGGUAAACAUCAGAGCAUCUUUUUGCAGCUCAUCAGACAACGGUGCGGUGGUGGAUUGUGUCUGUUGAGUGUUGAUUUCACGCUACGCUGUUACCUAGUUGGUGAGACGCAAUACUGGAAAGUAAAUAAAGUCCAUCUUUUACUCUCCAUGACAACAAGCUUAUAGUUAACUAGCUAACCACAUAGCAACUUUCAUUGCUUAUCAGCUGAGUGGAAGAUAAUGUGUAAACAUGUAUUCACCAAACUGUUUUGUUCAGGAUUCACAGUUUGGUACCCCCUUCAACUGAACAAUUCCAGUCAUUGCAUUUAUAAAAUUUAAUAUUUAAAAGUCUGGUUUUCCACCAUUGAAAGUUUCCCCUGAACUUGUAUAGCAGAAUGCGGUGUAACACCGCUGCCGCUGUUUAUCUCUUGUCUCGGCAGGUGAAAAUGCUUCUUGUUUUACAACCUGCCAAUAAUUGACUGGCAGUAUUAAAAUAGUCAGCAUUUGACUGAUACUAAACAGUACUACUGAUGUUUAUUUAGCUAUUUAUUUUAUUUUUAUUUAUUCUUUAUUUAAUUGGUCAGCAUUUGACUGAUACUAAACAUUACUGAUGUUUAUUUAGCUAUUUAUUGUAUUUUUAUUUAUUCUUUAUUUAAAUGGUCAGCAACUGACUGAUACUGAGCAUAAAGUACUGAUGAUUUUUAAGCUAUUUAUUGUAUUUUAUUUAUUCUUUAUUUUCUCAGUGUUCAUUUCUAGAAUUUGCUGACAGUGUAUAAUAAUAAUAAUGUCAAAUAUUCUUUGCUAAAAAUAUUUAAGAAAGCAGCCUUCUGAGUACCUUUGCAUAGUCAUAUCGGUGCAAAAUUGGUGAACAAUCCACAUAGAAAAGGUCUGUUUUCAUUCCAGCUCAAAAAUUAACUAUAUCGGCCACCAUAUCGGUAAUUGGUGAAUUUUCACCCUCUAAAAUCGGUAUUGGUCUCAAAAAUCCCAUACUGGUCGAGCUCUAGUAACACUCCUUUGGGACAGUUUGUGGAUGAAUAUACAUGUCUUUGUGUUUAUCCCACCUACUGGUUGGAGUUUGUUUUAUAGAUUAUUUUCUGUUGUGUAAUUCUGUCUCACAAAAUUUGUAUAGAAGACUUGAAUAAUCCGAUGGCAAAGUUGUCGUGGGGGCUCUCGAAGGCGUACAUGGACUGUUUGAGUUUAGAGGGAUGGACGCUGGUUGGCGCUGUCGUGCACGGGGUUAAUGCGCACGUUUUUCUUUUUUUUCUUCUGUUUGUUUGGUUCAGGGGGAAGUUCGGGGUUUGAUUUUUGCAGGUAAUCUUUAUAAUUGUUUUUUUGACACAAUCUAUUUUUUCUAAUAUGUCAAAAUGUCAAAUGUUAAUAUGAGUGGAUUGUCUCUCUCCAUGUGGAAUGGGAAUGUGUUGGGGCACCCCAUAAAAAGAAGGAAGGUUAUUUCUUUUCUUAAAUGUAAGAAAUAUGAUAUUGUGUUUCUUCAAGAAACACAUCUUUCCCUGCAGGAAGCUGAAAAAUUUGGGAAGAUAUGGAGUGGACAUGUUUUCUUUAGUGCUGGCACAAGUAAGAGUCUGUCUCAAACAGUUUAAUGAUAAAUUAGGAAGAGUCAUUAUUGUUUUAGCAGAAAUUCAUUGGCAAAGGUUGAUUUUGGCUAAUAUUUACACACAUAAAGCUGAUGAUCAGGGCUUCUUUAUAGAUCUUGAAGUGAUGUUGCAAGCUGCUGGCACCCCUCAUUAUAUAAUAUUGGGAGGAGACUUUAAUCUUUUGAUGGUCCUUGAUCAUAGUGUAGCAAAAGUGUGCAAGCCCCCUAGAGCAACAUUGACGCUUCACAGGAUGUGUAAAAAUCUUGGUCUUACAGAUAUUUGGAGACUUUUGAACCCAUCUGGUAGGGACUAUAUAUGUUUUUCAUCAGUCCAUAAGAUUUAUUCUAGAAUAGUCCCUCAUUUCACCUGUUGUUGAUUGCUCAAUUGGAAACAUCUUAGUCUCAGAUCAUACCCUGGUGAGUUUAGAGGUGUUGCCACAUACAGAGAAAAAGAAAUCAUUUUAAUAUAUCCCUUUUGCAAAAUCCUGAAUUCUAACAAAUGUUAAAAGCUGAAAUCAGUGUUUAAAUGGAAACCAACUGGUCCUCAGUAUCCUCUGUGGGCAUGGCAAGGGAGGAACUUAAGGCAUUUCUUAGGGGUCAGAUCAUACAGUUUGCCUCAUUCACCAAAAAAUCCAAAGCACGAGAAUUCGUGGAACUGGAAGGGAAUAUUAAAGAUGCCGAGGCAGAGCUGAAGCGCUGAAUGUCGUCUGAUGGCCUCAGAGAAUUGACCUGAUUGAAAUACAUAUAUAAUACUAUUUUGUUGUGGAAGGUGAAGUUUUUGGCUAGAUAUAUAAAGCAGAGAGAGUCUUUUUCUCCCAUUCCCUCAGUGAAAUCUGCUGGUGGUGAAAUAUUUACCUUGGCCAUUGAUAUUAAUGAUACUUUUAAAGAAUUCUAUCUUGAUCUCUAUAGUUCCUCGUCUUCGUCUACUGAUGAAGAUAUUAGAAACUUAGUGAAACCAUUAGAACUCCCUAAACUGACGACUGAGCAAAAAAAAUUAUCUUGAUAAUAAAGGAAACUUGGAGGAGCUUUGCGAGGUAAUUAAGGUCUUGCCUACAGGCAAGGCUCCGGGGCCAGAUGGCUUUGCCACUGAAUUUUUUAGAUCUUAUGCUACAGAACUGGCUCCACUUUUGUUAGAAGUUUAUACGGAAGCAUUAAAGAAUGGAAAGCUUCCGCCAACCAUGACACAAGCCCGGAUCAGUCUGAUUCUUAAAAAGGACAAAGAUCCAAGUGAGUGUAAGAUUUACCGUCCAAUUUCCCUGAUUCAGCUAGAUGUAAAAAUAUUGUCAAAAAUUUUGGCUAACCCAUUAAGUAAAGUUAUGACGUCUCUUAUACAUACAGAUCAGGUGGGGUUUAUUCGGGGCUGUAGCUCUUCUGAUAACAUCAGGUGUCUCAUCAAUAUCAUGUGGUCAGUGGCGAAUGAUCAGUCUCUGGUCGCUACCAUCUCACUUGAUGCCGAAAAGGCGUUUGAUAUGGUAGAAUGGGAUUAUCUUUUUAAGAUUUUGGAAAUAUACGUGGUUCAGGAACACUUUUAUUGGAUGGAUUAAGUUACUUUAUAGACACCCGGUAGCGGCAGUACAAACAAAUGGAUUAAUUUCAAAUUAUUUUACUCUGGACAGGGGCACCCGGCAGGGUUGCCCUCUUUCCCCAUUAUUGUUCUGUCUUGCCUUGGAACCAUUAGCAGCCGCGAUAAGAAAGGAAAAUGAUUUUCCAGGGGUGGUGGCAGGAGGUAUUGCGCAUAAGCUUUUGCUUUACACAGAUGAUAUUUUAUUAAUCGUCUCCAACUCCACUAGAUCUGUGCCUUGCCUCCACAGAAUUAUUAAUUCAUUUUCUAAGUUCUCGGGAUACAGAGUCAGUUGGUCUAAUCCAAAGCUUUGGCUCUGUCAGCAUACUGCCCAGUUAUGGCUUUUCAGCUGGGUGCUUUCCAGUGGCCCAAUCAGGGCAUUAAGUAUUUGGGUAUUUUAUUCCCAGCAAAUUUGUCUGAUUUAGUCAGUUAAUUUUGACCCCUUAAUAAAAAGGUUUUCGAGCGAUGUGGGCUUCAUUAUAUUUAUCUAUGAUUGGGAAAGUUAAUGUUUUUAAAAUUAAAUUUAUUCCAAAAUUCAACUACCUGCUACAGUCUCUCCCUGUAGAUGUCCCCCUCUCUUAUUUCAAGCAAUUUGAUAGCGUAGCGAAGUCCUUCAUUUGGAAUAAUAAGCGUCCCAGAUUACACUUCAGUAAGUUACAUAGGCCGAUUGACAAAGAUGGGCUAGGCCUACCCAAGAUUAUUAUGCAUUCUGUCUCAGACAUUUGGCUCAUUGGUCACUUCCCCCUGAGAGAGCCCCUCCCUGGUUUUGUAUUGAACAGGAAGUUUUUGCCCCUAUAUUGCCAUUGCAAAACCUUUAUAUUACACUAACCGGAGAAGUUAAGUCACACCCCGUUAUCUUGCAUUUGCACGCAGUAUGGACAAAGGUGUCCAGAGUGUUUAAUUCGGACGUUUAUUUAAAUGUUGCCUCGAGCAUAUGGAUGAGCCCAAAAUUACGUAUUAAUAAGUCCCCUUCCUGCUGGUCAGAGUGGAUUGUGAGGGAGGUUAAUAUUCUCGGUGACCUAUAUGAGAGUGGAGUGUUGAGAUUUUUUGAAAAUAUGGUUCAGUAUUUUAGGAUUCCCAGAUCUCAUUUCUUAAGGUAUUUACAGCUGCGCCAUCUGCUCUGUACUAUUUUUGGGGGUAGCGUACACCCCCCUAAAGCGGCAGAUACUCUGGAAGUGAUGAUUACUGCCUUUGGAAAAGGUCAUGAGGCAUCAGUGUAUUAUUCCCUGUUAAUUCAGUGUCUGGGGGAAGGAGCUUCAACUUCUCUCAAGAGAUUAUGGGAGAAAGACUUAAACUUGGUAUUGGAGGAUGGAGUUUGGGCUAGGAUUCUAAAAAACAUCAAGUCUACAUCUAGAGAUGCAAAGGUGCGUCUGAUGCAAUUUAAGAUUUUACAUUGAUUCUGUUGGACUCCCUCUAGAUUGUAUAGACUUGGUCUCAAAGACACUUCCACCUGCUUGCGAUGCCAAUCAGAAGAUGGGGACACAACCUAUUUUUUCGGUGGUGUGUUAAGAUCCAAGAAUUUUGGUUGAGGGUUCAGAAUUUUAUGUGUGAUGUAUUGGGUAUUCAAAUUUGUUCGGAGGGAAGGGUUUAAGUUCAUAUAAUUUGAUUCUGUAUUUUCUGUCAUGUUUAUUUAAUAUGUCACUGAAAUCAAUAAAAAUUGUUAAUAACAAAAAAGACAGUACCGGUUAGGUUUAAUUAAAGGUUUAUGUUAGGGAGGUAGGUUUUGUUCAUUUUAAACUCCAUAGAGGAUAAACCUUAACCUCAUCUUUUUGGGACACAUUUAACUUGCUUUUAGUGCCACUCAGUGGACAUUUCACCUCGAAACUGCAGCGAUAUGUGUAAUGAUCCACAUAAUUUCAUUUAGUAAAAAUGUUGCCACAGUCAGGUUUUUUUUCAUCAAUCAGUCUGGACAUGCUGCUGCUGCUGCUGCACAAUAAGACAUACACAAGUCAUGCUGCAUUGAGCAUGUACUGUAGGACAUGUUGCUGAUGCAAUUUAAAUGUUAGACAAAGAGAGAGUAAGUUGAUUGGCUAAUAGAUUACAUGAUCAAAGGACCUAUCAGUUUGUGCCAUGUAGAAUUUCAUGACUGAAUUUGUUUACUGUUUGUGACCAAAGCGAAUGUCACCACCAAGGAGUUCAGCCAUCAACGGUCACCAGUUUCUCAUAGGGUUUCUUUCCUUUUCCAUUUGACAUACUCUUUCACCUGCUAACUAAUGACUUCUCUCCAUAGUUUUUGUUUUAUCUCCUCAAAGACAGAGAUAGUCUACCCGGUCAAAUCUUUUGGGUCCGUCCCUUGAUAUAGCGCUCAUUUCAGCCGAUUAUGUCUCCUUGCUAGCAGAGGGACUAAAGCAGCGAAACUAGGGUGCUGCCAUUAUCAACCUUGAAUGUGGACCACUUCCGGUAUUAGCCACUUCCAGCUAUUUUAGCGAUACAAAAAUACUACAUUAUGCUGCUUUAUUACAUGCUGGCAUUAUAUGUCAUCAUAUUAUUAUCAUUAAUUAUGAUUUUCAUAAACUCAUUAGUUUUGAACGCAUAUAGUUUUACCGUAUAUCGCAUUUUGCCAUUGUUUUAUCACACUGUUGCACAGGCAGAAUGAAUGAGAGAUCAGGUGCUGACAGGACAGUCGUCCGCACCAUCUGACAUGCCUCCACAAACUUUACACAACCAGCAGAGAGCAGAAAGCCGCAGGGCAAAUGCUGUUUUAACUUUCUUUGCACCAAAACUGCGUCUUGUUUCACCUUGACAAAAUAAUAAAUGCAUUAUUCUCUGUUCUUUUCAGAGAGCAUUCUCUCUUUCUUAGCAGUGCAUAGUAAACAAACAUGCAGAUCUUACAUUCAGCAUAGCUUAUGAAAUAUCACCUUUGGAAAUAAACAAAUAAAGGCAUCAUUGGAGGUUAUGAAGGUACAUAUAAAUGGAGGUUUACAUGGAGACAAGAAAGACUGCAUCAUCACAAUCUCGGUAAAGUAAGAAACAGAUUUAAUUACCGUCUCUUCAGUACAACAACACACAGCAACAAGUGAAUGAUUUACUUACACUUUUACAUUUAAAUGCUGAAGUUAGAAAAUUAUUCGACAUUAGGCCAUCAUUCUGCUGUACAUCCUGUGGUUGUGUGAUAGUUUAUAAACUUAGAUCACUAAAUUCUGGUAAUGUAAGCGCAGCGUAGUUCUAACGGGAAGACUAGCAACUGUACAUCACACCAUUAGCUAGGUAACUCCUAGCCAAUCACAUGUAAGCCAUUGCUUUAUAAGUCUGUUCACAUUCUAUCACAUUGCUGUUUCAGUUGUGUUAACACGGCAACCUCCACCACCCCACCACCACCAGUCGACUCCCGUCCUGCACAGGGGUAGGCUCCUCGCCCCUGCCUCCUAUCUCUGGCAGGAUAUGAUGGUUCCGAGUACAACUUCUUCGGACCGCCAGACGGGGCUUACGCCAAAGAGAGACAUUACAUUUUCUGUUUUAUAUUCCUCAAAUAAAUGUCAUCUUGAAUUUCA
Myxocyprinus asiaticus (Chinese sucker) is the source of this 9231-nucleotide long non-coding RNA. RefSeq lists it as uncharacterized. The record is from RefSeq and is a predicted model, not a curated record. NCBI's taxonomy places the organism in Eukaryota, Metazoa, Chordata, Actinopteri, Cypriniformes, Catostomidae. The transcript is spliced from 2 exons.